This 124-nucleotide small nucleolar RNA is filed under the name Camelus dromedarius (Arabian camel). RNAcentral's name for it is "Small nucleolar RNA SNORA71 (ENSCDRG00005007931.1)". It matches the Rfam family "Small nucleolar RNA SNORA71". Rfam says of the family: The members of this family belong to the H/ACA class of snoRNAs which bind a number of proteins (including dyskerin, Gar1p and Nop10p) to form snoRNP complexes. This class of snoRNAs are thought to guide the sites of modification of uridines to pseudouridines by forming direct base pairing interactions with substrate RNAs. This family includes U71 (SNORA71), ACA39 (SNORA39) and ACA60 (SNORA60). The record is from Rfam by way of RNAcentral. Lineage: Eukaryota; Metazoa; Chordata; Mammalia; Artiodactyla; Camelidae.
UUCUGCACGAAAGUGAUCGGGGCUGCCUGUGGCCGCGUCAUGAUAGUGCAGGGAGAGGAAUUGCUGAAAGACAUUUCCUGUGUUGGGGCCCAGCGGUCCCUUCCAAACCCUGGAGCUUUCCAAA